UCCUCACACCGCACGGCAGGCACAGA
This 26-nucleotide non-coding RNA is filed under the name Homo sapiens (human). Lineage: Eukaryota; Metazoa; Chordata; Mammalia; Primates; Hominidae. The record is from RNAcentral.